CCAGCCCGUAAACCGUUGACAAUUUUGUACCAGAAUAUGAAUUCUGACACAGCAGCAAGGAUGCUACCAUCACUCACAAAACCUUAUCUAGGGCUCUCCAGAUGAAAUAUUUGCAAAAUUAACCCAAUAACUCUCCCAGCACUCCUUAAAACUGGAAUGCAAAGAGCAUUCUUUUUUGGAAAAUUGUAUUCUCAUACAAUUCUUUCUGAGUAGAAAUCAGUAUCUGAAUGGAACUUGUCCAUACACAGAAAUUAUACCAUUUUACUUCAAAACAUGCUAUUAUACAGACUUGUGUAAUACACUUUGAAAAAUAUUUGUUUGGGGGGCAGGGAAGGGGAGAGGGAAAUGAAACAAGAAUUUUAUGUAAUAUAGCUAGAGUUACAUUUGAUUGAUAUUCAAAGAAGAUAUCACCAGAUAUUUCCCUGAAUUUUCUACUAGGUGUAAACAGAAUGUAUGCAAAAAUCUUCUUUACCAGAGAUGAAACAAAGACAUACAAUCUGAACUGAGAAUUAGUGUUUUCAGGAAAUCAAGGGCUUCCUGAAUAAUUAGCAUGCAUCUGCUAAUCACUCUGCAAAUUGUUGUUACAACCAGACAUAACCUUGCUAACACACUUCACUGGAAAUUACUUCAACUGAUUGCUCACUUCCAAUUCCUUGUAAGAAAAAGAUCGUCGAGAACAGCUAUAAAAGAGACAGAUCUAGCAUAGAACUCUUCAUUUUCCAGCUAAUUUGGUGCGAGUUUAUUCUCAGGCCUAGGGAAACAGCAUCUGAGUGCAACAGUUAAUUCAUUUGGGACUCAGCCUUUUACAAGGUGUAGAAUAUGCCGUUACUUCCAUCAUGAGAGUCUUCUUUAAAUUUUAAUUAAAAUUAAAUGAAAUUCUAUUAUCUGGAAAGAAUUCUUAAAUUUACAUAAAGAGAGAAAAAAAGUCUAAUAUCUAAAGCUUAAUAUUACCACCUUUCCCUCUUCUGCUCCCAGAUAGCCUUAAGGAAAAUGUGAAUCCACUGCUACAUUUAAAUUCCGUCUGGGAACAUUAGGAAACAGAUGAGUAUUUUUCAUUGAAAUUCCUAUUAGGAAUAUUGUCGAAGAAAAAUAAGCAGAGAAAAAUUAUUUGGGGGCAUUCAGUUUUACCCUGAAUUGCAUUUGCUUACUAUGCUUUGCUUAUAGUAUAUUUUUAUUUAAUGUAGCACCUUUUAUUUACAGAGACAAGAAAGGGACAUGAGAGAGGAAUGAAGCUGCUUCGGGAGAAAAUGUUAACCUUUUUUCCAUGACAAUUUUUAAAAAGAGGAAGAGUCAAUGAGGCAGAGAAAUAUAGCAAGGCUCUCUCAGAUGGGGGUUACCUGUCCCUUCCAGGGCAUAACUCUUCCAUGACCUCUUCAGUGAAUAUCCACUGUUCCAACUUUCAGCUCUCUCAAGUCUCUGCUGUACUCCUGGGAUCCUAGUUCACACAGACACAAAGCAUGAGCCAGCUCUAAAUUCAUAAUUGGUGUUUCAUUGCUGAUAAAUUACUUCAAAGGAAUCAGAAAACAAAAUUUAUAGUCUAUUCUGCACCUUAAUCUUGGGAACACGGCUGCUGCAGAGUGGAUGGGAGAGCUGGUGACAAAAGAUAAUGCUUGGACAAUGAUGGAUCAUAUCUGAGAAUACUAAUAAAGUAAGCUAAAAGAAAAACAAAGUGUCACUUUGUUUGAUUUCUCUUUCACAAUACACUUCUAACAGGAUAAAAUGUAUCUAGUUCACUA
Meleagris gallopavo (turkey) is the source of this 1736-nucleotide non-coding RNA. Lineage: Eukaryota; Metazoa; Chordata; Aves; Galliformes; Phasianidae. The record is from RefSeq and is a predicted model, not a curated record.